Molecule: long non-coding RNA, 2713 nt
Filed under: Homo sapiens (human)
Lineage: Eukaryota; Metazoa; Chordata; Mammalia; Primates; Hominidae
Description: HSALNT0012372
Source: RNAcentral
UCUGCUCCCUUCCAGCCCUGACAGCCCAGGCCUAUAAGCUGACACCCAGAGAAGGUAAAGAACUUGCUGUCCCUGCACAGUGAGGCAAUGGUGUCACCAUCCUCUCACUCGCCUCUGACUUUUCGCACAGGAGAGAGCUGGUCGAAUAGUACAAUUCCCCGAUGUGAAUGGGGAGAAGCUGGGGAAAGGAAGAAUGAUCUUCAGGCAGUAAGGGCCCCUACUCCAGUAUGAUUGGUGUCCUUAUAAAAAGGAGAAAUUGGACACAGACACCCUACCAAGAAGAACACUAUGUGAAGAUGAAGGCAGAGAUCAGGGUGAUGCCUCUACUUGCUGAGAAACUCCUACAGUUGCCAGCCCACCACUAGAAGCAAAGGAAGAAGCACAGCCCUCAGAAGGAACCAACCCUGCUAAUGCCUUGGUCUUGGACUUGCAGCCUCCAGAACAGCGAGCCAAUACAUUCCUGUGGUUUAAGCCACUGACUGUGGCACUUUAUUACAGCAGCACUAGGAAACUCAUACAGGAGGUGACAGUGCUCAGAUGAAACAGGACCUUCCACUUCCAUGGCAAAGCCCUCAUCUUUCGUGCCCAUGCGCCAUUUGAUCUGCACACAAAUCACUGAGCAGGUUCCUCAGCUAUUAUUAUCCCCACCUUUCAGAUGGAAAGAACUGAAGCUCAAGAGGGCCAAAGAAAUUUGGCUAUGGCUUUCUUUAUUUUCUUUUUCAUGGGCAGAAGUAGAUUUCAGUUUUGGUCCCUUUCCACUACCAUAUCAGGUUGCCUUAAGGCAACUUUGAAAAGUCUAAAAUAUUAAACAGUUUGUGAAGUUAUUAUCAUUAUUCAUAAAGGACAGCGCGAGGUUAGUCUUACCCUAGAGAGCCCCAUUGUUGGCCCAAAGCAUCUUGCCAGGAGCCCUAUAGGACCAUGUUUUCAAGGCCCCCAAAGAGCACAGGGCUAUUGGUCCAUCCCAGCUCCUGGAAUGGCUCAUUGUACCCACCCUGCCUCCAGCUGAGGAGCCAGGGAGAAGCACUGACCCCUGAUCUUGCUAUCCCUUCCAUUACACUCUUGCCAGAGGAGCUUUUUUCAGGGGUGGCCGCUUCCCUCUCCUCAAGAGAAUUCUGGGGACCAACCAGCUCAGGCCUGCUGUUGGCCUCAGGGUCACAUCUCACCCAGACACCCCCACCAUUCCCUCAGGUCUAGGGAUGCUGCUCCCCUACCAUGGGAUCUUCUUUUUAUUUUUAUUUAUUUAUAUUUUCCUUAUGCCUAGUGUAAAGGGAUUUCUUUUCUUUUUUGUUUUUGUUUUUUUUUUGAGAUGGAGUCUUGCUCUGUCACCCAGGCUGGAGUGCAGUGCAGUGGCGCUAUCUCGGCUCACUGCAACCUCCACCUCCUGGGUUCAAGUGAUUCUCCUGCCUCAGCCUCCCAGGAGCUGGGAUUACAGGUGUGCCACCACAUUUGGCUAAUUUUUUUACUUUUAGUAGAGAUGGGGUUUCACCAUGUUGGCCAGGCUAGUCUCGAUCUCCUGACCUCAGGUGAUCCACCCGCCUCAGCCUCCCAGAAUGCUGGGAUUACAGGCAUGAGCCACCGCUCCCAGCCAGGAUCUUCUUUUUAAAGCUAUCACCACCCACUCUCAUUCCCCAGGACUCUCCUCACCCCUCCGGCUGCAAAGGCAGCUGGUGUCCCUACUGGCUCCUUCCUUUCUGCCCCUAAAGACAGGCACACAGGUGAUUUUCCUUUUAAGUGUUUUUCUGUGGAUUACUGCGGGGAAAUUGACAGGGGCUACAGGGGCUGAUAAAAGGAAUAAUCUUUGAUAUUCUUUCAGUUGGGUCGCUGAUUUUCUUGCUGGGCUGACAAGAGCAAUCUUCCCUACUUGGAAUCUUGGUUUUAUUCCUUAGCAUGGGCCUUAUCAAACCUACUUUUUAAUGAAGGGAGAAUGAAGAAGCCAUUGAAGCAGACCUCUAGCUGCCAGUCAGGUCUGCUCUGAAGGCUGCCUAUCUGCGGGGACAUGUGACUUCUGGGGCUUUCCAGAUUAAGUAAUGCUCACCCCACAUGUCUGAAAUUCUCCAAACACUAUUCCGGCCCUGCUGUGAUUCUUAGAGCAGAGGUUCUUUGCCUUUUUAGUGUAAUGGAUCCCUCAGCAACUUGGUGAGCCCUUCUCAGAAUAAAGUUUCUAAUGCAGAAAGUAAAACACAUGGGAUAAUAAGGGAAGUCAUGUCCUUUGAAAUCCUUAUCAAAAAUAUUUUUCAAAUUUUGUGAUAUAAUAAGUUUGGUUGCUAUUAUAUAGCAUAAUAUAACUUCAUAUCUAAUAGCUAUUGUUAUUUUGAAGUAGUGGUGAAUAUAUAUGCUAUUUUGAGAUGUCUAAAACAACUGUAAUGUGUUACAAAAAUAUCCAUGAUUUCUAUCGGUGACAAAGUCAAAAGUAUCGUGAAUACGUCUGUGAUUUGCAAGCUACAUCCAAAAUGGAAGGAAAUCCUAAUGUUUGGUUAGUGAUUGAUAAAAAUAAAGAUGUGGGCGGGCGCGGUGGCUCACGCCUGUAAUCCCAGCACUUUGGGAAGCCAAGGCGGGCAGAUCAUGAAGUCAGGAGAUCAAGAUCAUCCUGGCCAGCAUGGUGAAACGCCGUCUCUACUAAAAAUAAAAAAAUUAGCUGGGCAUGGUGGCGUGUGUCUGUAGUCCCAGCUACUUGGGAGGCUGAGACAGGAGAAUCACUUGAACCCAGGAGGCG